CCCGCACCCACCCCGGCCUGUGCCCGGACACGCAGGGAACCCCGGGCCUGGCUUGGCCCCCAUCAGAUAAGGCGCCUCCUCCGCCCUGGCAGCCUCGGAGUCGGCGAGGAGUUUACGCCCUCAUGUUGCUGCAAGACCUUGUCGCAGACAUCGUUGAGUGGUUACUUCUGAGGCUGCUUGACAUUUGUCCCCCCGAUAGAUUCUGAGCUCCAUGCAGGUAAGGACAUCAUACUCCAUGGUACUCGCCCCCCAGUACCCAC
Molecule: long non-coding RNA, 260 nt
Filed under: Fukomys damarensis (Damara mole-rat)
Lineage: Eukaryota; Metazoa; Chordata; Mammalia; Rodentia; Bathyergidae
Description: lncRNA (ENSFDAG00000023101.1)
Source: RNAcentral